UGGGGAAUUUUGCACAAUGGGGGAAACCCUGAUGCAGCGACGCCGCGUGAUUUAGAAGGCCUUCGGGUUGUAAAAAUCUUUUGUAUGGGAAGAAAAUGACAGUACCAUAAGAAUAAGGACCGGCUAAUUACGUGCCAGCAGCCGCGGUAAUACGUAAGGUCCGAGCGUUGUCCGGAAUCAUUGGGCGUAAAGGGUACGUAGGCGGAUAAGCAAGUUAGAAGUGAAAUCCUAUAGCUCAACUAUAGUAAGCUUUUAAAACUGCUCAUCUUGAGGUAUGGAAGGGAAAGUGGAAUUCCUAGUGUAGCGGUGAAAUGCGCAGAUAUUAGGAGGAAUACCGGUGGCGAAGGCGACUUUCUGGCCAUAUACUGACGCUGAGGUACGAAAGCGUGGGUAGCAAACAGG
This 402-nucleotide ribosomal RNA is filed under the name Verrucomicrobiota bacterium. RNAcentral describes it as "Verrucomicrobia bacterium partial 16S ribosomal RNA". It matches the Rfam family "Bacterial small subunit ribosomal RNA", at positions 355 to 776 of the family's 1533-position model. Lineage: Bacteria; Pseudomonadati; Verrucomicrobiota. The record is from RNAcentral.